Molecule: ribosomal RNA, 499 nt
Filed under: Pediococcus pentosaceus
Lineage: Bacteria; Bacillati; Bacillota; Bacilli; Lactobacillales; Lactobacillaceae
Description: bacterial SSU rRNA
Rfam family: Bacterial small subunit ribosomal RNA
Source: RNAcentral
ACGUACUUGUACUGAUUGAGAUUUUAACACGAAGUGAGUGGCGAACGGGUGAGUAACACGUGGGUAACCUGCCCAGAAGUAGGGGAUAACACCUGGAAACAGAUGCUAAUACCGUAUAACAGAGAAAACCGCAUGGUUUUCUUUUAAAAGAUGGCUCUGCUAUCACUUCUGGAUGGACCCGCGGCGUAUUAGCUAGUUGGUGAGGUAAAGGCUCACCAAGGCAGUGAUACGUAGCCGACCUGAGAGGGUAAUCGGCCACAUUGGGACUGAGACACGGCCCAGACUCCUACGGGAGGCAGCAGUAGGGAAUCUUCCACAAUGGACGCAAGUCUGAUGGAGCAACGCCGCGUGAGUGAAGAAGGGUUUCGGCUCGUAAAGCUCUGUUGUUAAAGAAGAACGUGGGUAAGAGUAACUGUUUACCCAGUGACGGUAUUUAACCAGAAAGCCACGGCUAACUACGUGCCAGCAGCCGCGGUAAUACGUAGGUGGCAAGCGUUAU